Molecule: long non-coding RNA, 3960 nt
Filed under: Gallus gallus (chicken)
Lineage: Eukaryota; Metazoa; Chordata; Aves; Galliformes; Phasianidae
Description: lncRNA (ENSGALG00010006617.1)
Source: RNAcentral
CUCGGGCCGGCAGCGCGGCAGCUCCGGUGCGGGAGCGCCGUGCUCCUGUGGGGCCGUACCUCAGUGUUACUGCAAAGGUAAAACCCCGCUCCGGCGGCGGGCUCGUGCGUAAAUAACAUCUGUGUGUGGGCGGAUGGUGGGCAGCUCUGCUCGCAGGGACGGAGAGGAACCGCUCCGAGCCGCAGCGUUUGAAAUCGUAAACGUAGCCAGAGAAGUUUGGAAGGAACUCGUCGUAAUGGUCUGUUUAUAAAAAUGGAGAUUAAUCUUGUCCCGUUCCAUAUAAGCACCACGAGUCUGGUUUUUUUCGCUCUUUUCGUUUUUCGAGCGAUUGUUGUACGUUGGCUUUAAAAACAACAGCGACAAAAAAAUGUUUUCUAGGAAAAGCGUUUGUCUUUCUUUUUUUUUUUUUCUUUUCUCUUCUCCCCCUAAAAAUAAUUAGGAAUUCAGUAGUUUUGCUACGCCGUUCCGACCAGAACUUUCUCACGUGUUCGCGUGGAGCAGAGCUGCCCGACCCGAUGCUGGGGCGGUUUCCAACAAGUGCCCCGCUCUGCUGCGGGGGAAAUGUGCCCCCGCACGUUGGCUCGCAUCGACACGGAAAGGGCUUCUGUUAGCGAGGGGGGAAUGGCUUCCAGAGAGUGCGAUUUGGGUAAGGAAGCCCUUCCUAGGAGAACGGUGAUCGUUUUUAGCAAGUUAGUGGAAAUGCAUUUGGAAGGAUUCGAGUCGGUGUCAAGCUUUCUUAUUUUUUUUUUAACGUAUCACCACCAAAUUUUGCCAGCUCGGGAGUCAAAGAAGUUAAAGGAUGAUAUUAAUGGAUAUCACCGUUGAAAAUAAUUCAGCAGUGACUCCCCCGCCCCCCGGGAAGUUGCCUGCUCGCGGGCAUUGUGUGAGAUAACAGCUCCGGACUCCUCUUUCGCUCUUUGUGAGCUCCGUUCCUUUGUGGGACUCCUCCAAAUCAAAGCCCGCUGUAGUUCGGGUGGGAAAACGCAUUUCUGUUACUGGGAAGUCGAGGAGGCUGGAAAUAUUUAAUAGGAAAACCCCACCACGGUAGCAUCUAAAAGCAAUAACUUUAAAAUCGAGGGGAAGGAAAAAAAAAAAAAAAAAGCUUUUAUUUGUUCCGUUUUACCUCUCCCGCUGAGCGUUCCGGAGAUGCGUUUACUGUUAAUUGCCGUUCGGCGAUUUUCAAAAGAGGUAAAGAUCAAAGCUUUCCCAACAGAGUCGCAAGUUGAAAAUGGACUAAAAAUGGCGACGAGAAAUUUGCUGUAAAGAAUCAGCUGUAAAGUGAGUUUUCCCACUCGGCAGUUCCAGCUCCGAUGUCAGUCGAUGCUUUCUAAUACAGCACCCAUUUUAUGUAAAACUCUGCUUUUUCUGUUAUUCGUGGAGGACUCCUGUGAUGCUUCCAUCCACCCAAUAACGUGCCUCUGUAAAGGAAAGACUUCUGCUUGUUCAAUGCUUUGUUUUAUUCACCGAAGUUACAAUGAUUGUAUACUUUGUAGAGAAAAAGCAGUGAAAUUUAAAGCGAGUAUGCAGAUCCCAGCAUUGUUGUUGGAAGUGAUUAAUGGCUAGUAAAAAUUUAAGGUGAAUACCUCUUUAUUUUUGCUAAUGAAGCUGACGUGCCACGCAGUGCUGCAUGGUAACAUUUCCGUGAGGGAUCCCUUAAACUUUUGAAACGCUUCACACGUGGGAAGGGUAAUUUUCAUUCACUCGUGCAUUCAUUCUACUCAAAAAACAGCUAAAAAAAUGUGGGUACGUAUCACCCUGUUGUAUGUUUGUCAUACCCAAACUCGCCUAGCUGUUAGACCCUGUAGGUUUCUUUUAAGAGAAUUGGCUUUUCUCCUCGUGUUGAGAUUAACAAUGAAAUUAUUCAGUCUUACCCCCUGAAUUAUAUUCCUCUCUAAUUAUUUUAAUCUCUUAUAUAUCACUAUAAGAAGGACAGGCUUCUUUUUUCAAACAGAAAAUUGGCCUUCUGUGUCGUGUCAGCGCUUAUUAAAUACUACAAUCAUAAGAACACAUAUGCUACAAGAUUUUACGUUCUGAUUCCGUAGCUGUUACGGGCUUAGCGGCUGCAGUAUUUAUUUAGUGGUAAUGCAUUGCUUUUUCCUAUUUUGCAUUUCAAAGCUCUCCCUUAAACGACUGUUUUACAGAACUAUCCAGAGGUUAUCUAAAUUUCCCCAUCAAAUAUUACGCAGCACCAUAAGCUGGGAGUCGUGGAGUUUCUUUCCUUUCAUUUACACUCUCUUUAUAGAAAGAACUGAUCAGAAAAGCCACAAAAAAUACAACAAAUCCUUUAGGAAACGGUUCGGUGUAUUUGGUUUGACUGAAUUUGGACCAUAGCAAAGUUUCAAGCUGGUGUUAAACGCUCUCAGAGUACAACGUUUUUAUUUGAACGCUAUGCAGUGUGCUUCUCAUGGAUAUAUUCUCGGUUCCUCGGCGCGGCUUUAAUCACGUUGUUGCAAAGCAAUUAAUUUUUUGGUUGCUGUAGUGAUGCAUUUUUAUAAAGCCAGAAAUUGGGUUUCAGAAUCACCAACGUCAAAAAAGCCAAAGCCCCAAACCCGGCGCUGCCGGGAGCCGCACGCGUUGCUGUUCAAAGAGGAAGCUGCAGGAAAACCGUCUCAAUUAAUUAAUAAAGAAAUAGGAAAGCAAAAGCAAUGAUAAAAAUGUACGACUGUUUGUUGCAAUACAAGCGUUACUGUACGCGUACAUUCGUCCAGCAAAUUAAAAUACACUUAAUAUGUUUUCCUUUCAAAAGGAUAUUUGUUUUAAUUUACCUGUCAGGGAAAUAAAGGACAGAUUUGCCGCUGUACCGUGAUUUUUUUCUCCUUGUCAGGGUUAACAGAAUCAUUGGGAAUGCUUUUUAAAUUAGAUGUCAUUUUCUUGACACGAACGAGGAAGGGCCAGGAGGGUGUAUCUACCUUCAGAUCAUUUGCCUUUUUUAGCAGUGGGGUCUGUUGGGUGCUUUAUUUCCUCACGCAGUAAUUGCUCACACCUGCAAUUUUCAGCGUACUUUUUUACAAGCCUUAAAAGUAAUAAAAAUAGCGUUGUGUGUUUUCUCCUACAAAUAGUUCCGAGUUCAGACGUGUGUUCUUCCCCGCUAAGAUGGGGCGGUUUUGUGCGGGGCGGCUUUUUUUUGGGAGCACUGCCUGCAUUAUUUUACGCAAACUGAAACAUUCCACAUCCUGACACCCUCCCCCCGUUUGUUUUUUUGUUCCGUGUGUGCAAAACGUCUAACCUCGGGGAUACGGCAGCGUGCAUUUACAGAGAAACGUUACAGCGGGUCCCAAAUGGCUGUGCUAAUUGCACUGGGCUGGGCCUUCACGGAGGAAGCUGCCUCCAUCACUCCCCUUGCCUUUGCCCUCCAUUCUUCCUCUAUUUAUCUAAUUUCACUUAAAACUUUCAGGGAGAGAAAAGAGCGUGACCCGAGCUGUCCUGCCUGCACUGCGGCUCUGGGGGUGGAGCUGGGCACAUCCUUACCCAGAUCCCUUCUUCCUGCUCCCAUACACGUUAGUUAACAACAUAUAAAACGCAUAUAUAUGUGCGGGUCCAGGUAGCCACGCGUCCAGGAAAGCACACAGUUCAGCAGUGAUUUGUGCAGAUACCGGAUCCACAGAGCUGGCCUUGCACAGUGGUCACAAAAAGCACCCGUUCGCCACACCAAUUCUACACGUCUGCCUUUUAGCGCGGCAACGGAGAUGAAGCAGUGAGGGCUUCCUGGCCCAACGCAAAUACAGAAACAAAAUAAAUAUCUAGCGGCCCUGGGGCGGGUGAGGGAGGGCCGGGCCGGGCUGCCUGCAUUUCUGUGCUCCCGAGCCCUGCCACGAGCUCUGGAGCUGCCUGCAGCUCGGGGCCGUCCUCAGAGCGGGCCGCCUCUGCUCAACCAGCUUUGCGAUUAUUCUUUUUUAACGUUAAUUUUUAAUUUUAAUACGAUAUAAGUGUUAAAUAAAAUGAUAUAAAAAAUCCCCCCCC